This 407-nucleotide ribosomal RNA is filed under the name uncultured bacterium. Its description in RNAcentral is "bacterial SSU rRNA". It matches the Rfam family "Bacterial small subunit ribosomal RNA", at positions 354 to 777 of the family's 1533-position model. The record is from RNAcentral.
GUGGGGAAUAUUGGGCAAUGGGCGAAAGCCUGACCCAGCAACGCCGCGUGAAGGAUGAAGGUUUUCGGAUUGUAAACUUCUGUCGCGAGGGACGAAGAAUGACGGUACCUCGUAAGAAAGCCCCGGCAAACUACGUGCCAGCAGCCGCGGUAAUACGUAGGGGGCGAGCGUUGUCCGGAAUGACUGGGCGUAAAGGGAGUGUAGGCGGCUUCUUAAGUUAUAUGUGAAAUCCCACGGCUCAACCGUGGAAGUGCAUAUAAAACUGGGGAGCUGGAGUGCAGGAGAGGUGAGUGGAAUUCCUAGUGUAGCGGUGGAAUGCGUAGAUAUUAGGAAGAACACCGGUGGCGAAGGCGGCUCACUGGACUGUAACUGACGCUGAGGCUCGAAAGCGUGGGGAGCAAACAGGA